AUUGAACGCUGGCGGCAGGCCUAACACAUGCAAGUCGAGCGGAUGAGAGGAGCUUGCUCCUCGAUUCAGCGGCGGACGGGUGAGUAAUGCCUAGGAAUCUGCCCAGUAGUGGGGGACAACGUUUCGAAAGGAACGCUAAUACCGCAUACGUCCUGCGGGAGAAAGUGGGGGAUCUUCGGACCUCACGCUAUUGGAUGAGCCUAGGUCGGAUUAGCUAGUUGGUAGGGUAAAGGCCUACCAAGGCGACGAUCCGUAACUGGUCUGAGAGGAUGAUCAGUCACACUGGAACUGAGACACGGUCCAGACUCCUACGGGAGGCAGCAGUGGGGAAUAUUGGACAAUGGGCGCAAGCCUGAUCCAGCCAUGCCGCGUGUGUGAAGAAGGCCCUCGGGUCGUAAAGCACUUUAAGUUGGGAGAAAGGGCUUACAGCGAAUACCUGUGAGUUUUGACGUUACCGACAGAAUAAGCACCGGCUAACUUCGUGCCAGCAGCCGCAGUAA
Molecule: ribosomal RNA, 500 nt
Filed under: uncultured bacterium
Lineage: Bacteria
Description: partial 16S ribosomal RNA
Rfam family: Bacterial small subunit ribosomal RNA
Source: RNAcentral